CCUACGGGGUGCUGCAGUGAGGAAUAUUGGUCAAUGGGCGGAAGCCUGAACCAGCCAAGUAGCGUGCGGGAUGAAGGCCCUACGGGUCGUAAACCGCUUUUGCACGGGGAUAACACCCUCCACGUGUGGAGGUCUGCAGGUACCGUGCGAAUAAGGGCCGGCUAAUUCCGUGCCAGCAGCCGCGGUAAUACGGAAGGCCCGAGCGUUAUCCGGAUUCAUUGGGCUUAAAGGGAGCGUAGGCGGGCGUUCAAGGCAGCGGUAAAAUCGCGCGGCCCAACCGGGCGCCGCAGCUGAAACUGGAGGCCUUGAGUUCACAAAAGGCAGGCGGAAUUCGUGGUGUAGCGGUGAAAUGCAUAGAUAUCAUGAGGAACCCCGAUUGCGAAGGCAGCCUGCCGGGGUGCGACUGACGCUGAGGCUCGAAGGUGCGGGUAUCAAACAGGAUUAGAUACCCGUGUAGUC
RNAcentral lists this ribosomal RNA (459 nucleotides) under uncultured bacterium. RNAcentral's name for it is "partial 16S ribosomal RNA". It matches the Rfam family "Bacterial small subunit ribosomal RNA", at positions 338 to 795 of the family's 1533-position model. The record is from RNAcentral.